GGCGGGCCUAACACAUGCAAGUCGAGCGGCAGCACAGAGAAACUUGUUCUCGGGUGGCGAGCGGCGGACGGGCGAGUAAUGCCUGGGAAAUUGCCGUGAUGUGGGGGGAUAACCCUUGGAAACGAUGGCUAAUGCCGCAUGAUAGCUUCGGCUCAAAGAGGGGGACCUUCGGGCCUCUCGCGUCAGGAUAUGCCCAGGUGGGAUUAGCUAGUUGGUGAGGUAAUGGCUCACCAAGGCGACGAUCCCUAGCUGGUCUGAGAGGAUGAUCAGCCACACUGGAACUGAGACGCGGUCCGGCCUCCUGCGGGUGGCGGCCGUGGGGGUUUCUGCUCGGUGGGCGCGCGCCUGCUGCUGCCUUGCCGCGUGUGUGCCGGUGGCCUUCGGGUUGUGUGGCUCUUUCUGUCGUGUGGGCGGUGGUGUUGUUUUUUGCGGCUUCUUUUGGCGUUUGCGGCGGGUGUUGCCCCGGCUGUCUCCGUGCCCGCCGCCGCGGUUGUUCGGUGGGUGCGUGCGUUUGUCGGGUUUCCUGGGCGUGGUGCGCCUGCUGGUGGUUUGUUUUGUCUGGUGUGGGUGCCCGGGGCUCUCCCUCGGUUUUGCCUUUGGUUCUGGCGNGCUCGUGUGCUGUGGGGGGGGGUCGUCUUUCUGGUGUUGCGGUGUUUUGCGUCGUCCUCUGAAGGAGUCCCGGUGGCGAAGGCGGCCCCCUGGACAGAUACUGACACUCAGAUGCGAAAGCGUGGGGAGCAAACAGGGUUAGAUACCCUGGUAGGUCACGCCGUAAACGAUGUUCUACUUGGAGGUUGUGGCCUUGAGCCGUGGCUUUUGGAGCUAACGCGUUAAGUAGACCGCCUGGGGAGUACGGUCGCAAGAUUAAAACUCAAAUGAAUUGACGGGGGCCCGCACAAGCGGUGGAGCAUGUGGUUUAAUUCGAUGCAACGCGAAGAACCUUACCUACUCUUGACAUCUACAGAAUCCUGCGGAGACGCGGGAGUGCCUUCGGGAACUGUAAGACAGGUGCUGCAUGGCUGUCGUCAGCUCGUGUUGUGAAAUGUUGGGUUAAGUCCCGCAACGAGCGCAACCCUUAUCCUUGUUUGCCAGCGAGUAAUGUCGGGAACUCCAGGGAGACUGCCGGUGAUAAACCGGAGGAAGGUGGGGACGACGUCAAGUCAUCAUGGCCCUUACGAGUAGGGCUACACACGUGCUACAAUGGCGCAUACAGAGGGCAGCGAACUUGCGAGAGUAAGCGAAUCCCAAAAAGUGCGUCGUAGUCCGGAUUGGAGUCUGCAACUCGACUCCAUGAAGUCGGAAUCGCUAGUAAUCGUGAAUCAGAAUGUCACG
RNAcentral lists this ribosomal RNA (1332 nucleotides) under uncultured bacterium. RNAcentral's name for it is "partial 16S ribosomal RNA". It matches the Rfam family "Bacterial small subunit ribosomal RNA", at positions 41 to 1361 of the family's 1533-position model. The record is from RNAcentral.